GUGGGGAAUCUUGCGCAAUGGGCGAAAGCCUGACGCAGCCAUGCCGCGUGAAUGAUGAAGGUCUUAGGAUUGUAAAAUUCUUUCACCGGGGACGAUAAUGACGGUACCCGGAGAAGAAGCCCCGGCUAACUUCGUGCCAGCAGCCGCGGUAAUACGAAGGGGGCUAGCGUUGCUCGGAAUUACUGGGCGUAAAGGGCGCGUAGGCGGACAGUUUAGUCAGAGGUGAAAGCCCAGGGCUCAACCUUGGAAUUGCCUUUGAUACUGGCUGUCUUGAGUACGGGAGAGGUGGGUGGAACUCCGAGUGUAGAGGUGAAAUUCGUAGAUAUUCGGAAGAACACCAGUGGCGAAGGCGACUCACUGGCCCGUUACUGACGCUGAGGCGCGAAAGCAUGGGGAUCAAACAGGAUUAGAUACCCGAGUAGUCC
This 425-nucleotide ribosomal RNA is filed under the name uncultured bacterium. RNAcentral's name for it is "partial 16S ribosomal RNA". It matches the Rfam family "Bacterial small subunit ribosomal RNA", at positions 354 to 796 of the family's 1533-position model. The record is from RNAcentral.